CGUGGGCGCUGGAGAAUUGAGGGGGGCUGCUCCUAGUACGAGAGGACCGGAGUGGACGCAUCACUGGUGUUCGGGUUGUCAUGCCAAUGGCACUGCCCGGUAGCUAAAUGCGGAAGAGAUAAGUGCUGAAAGCAUCUAAGCACGAAACUUGCCCCGAGAUGAGUUCUCCCUGAGACUUUAAGUCUCCUGAAGGAACGUUGAAGACGACGACGUUGAUAGGCCGGGUGUGUAAGCGCAGCGAUGCGUUGAGCUAACCGGUACUAAUGAACCGUGAGGCUUAACCUUA
Molecule: ribosomal RNA, 286 nt
Filed under: Kosakonia oryzendophytica
Lineage: Bacteria; Pseudomonadati; Pseudomonadota; Gammaproteobacteria; Enterobacterales; Enterobacteriaceae
Description: 23S rRNA. Bacterial LSU
Rfam family: Bacterial large subunit ribosomal RNA
Source: RNAcentral